CAGAAAUAGAAGAACAAGCAGUCACAUUGAUUUUCAAUUUCAUGGCAGAGAAAAUAGUUUGAGGGGUCUCAAAGUCUUUCCUUUGGAGUAUCUAAAAUCCUAAGUGUACAGGACUCGGGAGGACAAGGGUGUGCAGUCCAGCUCUCAGGCUUCCUGCGACUGCCACGGGCGGGUGUCUAUCCAUGAGCCUCUCGUUUCAUCUUCGCAACAGCCCUGCCAGUUUACAGAUGCUGAAAGUAGAUGUACAGAGAAGGGACUUGCCAAAGGCCAGACACUUAAUUCAUCGGAUCUAGAACUUCACUGAUGGGGCUAGACUCCAGAUUUGUUGGAAAAAUAAGAAGUCUUUUGGUUGACGCAACAGACCAGGAUGAAGUUCAGAAGAUCAAGAGCGCCUGGACUCCCCCAGGCUCUGCCCUGCCCUGAGUCUGUGGUUGCAGGAGGCACUGGGGUCUGCAUCUCACCAGCCCCUCUCCUUGGGUAGGGCAAGUCCCACCUCCCUGG
This is a long non-coding RNA of Cervus elaphus (red deer), 501 nucleotides long. RefSeq lists it as uncharacterized. The record is from RefSeq and is a predicted model, not a curated record. The transcript is spliced from 3 exons. Lineage: Eukaryota; Metazoa; Chordata; Mammalia; Artiodactyla; Cervidae.